UACGGAAGCCCAUAAGUGCCAUUUUGUCUUAGGAGUUAUGUCUUAUGACUAAUGACUUAUGUAUUAUGACUUUUGUCUUAUGUAUUAUGACUUUACAAAAAAGCGGCAAAAAGACAAGUUUCAUCAAGUACGCUCAUCAUGGCAGCCUUUGGAGGUAAAUCUGAUAGUGAAACAGCAGACGCUUUGGUAAAUGCGAGUAGUAAACGUAUUUAGGUACUAGGUUAGAAAAUAGCAGGCUAAGACCAAGAAAACAUUGGAAAAGAUAAACUUAUGGAGAUUCAUAGAGAAACAGCUUGGUCCUGGGAGGCAUUUCUCAUGAAAAUUACAGUUUGGACGACUAUUAAAUUCGCAAGAAAUUUUGACAAGUGACAGCACGGGCGGAGAGCAAGAAUAAACGAGAUCAAUAAAGAAGAAAAAAGUGUUCAAAUAAUUAUAAGUAAUGCAACUAGAUUUUUUUUUCAGAUGCUAUGGAAGUGAAUCUGUCAAAACAUAAAAGUGACAUUUUAAAAUAAAUUUGUAAUGCCAAAUAAAGAUAUAUUUAAUUUUCAAGCGUACUUAAAAUGUAUAUGUGUGUUUUAACCAAAUAAGUUGAAUUUUUGUUUUAUUAUUAUCGCGAAAACAGCCUAGAUUUCGUAGUUUAGACCUA
This is a long non-coding RNA of Ruditapes philippinarum (Manila clam), 646 nucleotides long. RefSeq lists it as uncharacterized. The transcript is spliced from 3 exons. The record is from RefSeq and is a predicted model, not a curated record. Lineage: Eukaryota; Metazoa; Mollusca; Bivalvia; Venerida; Veneridae.